This 363-nucleotide ribosomal RNA is filed under the name uncultured bacterium. RNAcentral describes it as "bacterial SSU rRNA". It matches the Rfam family "Bacterial small subunit ribosomal RNA", at positions 72 to 422 of the family's 1533-position model. The record is from RNAcentral.
AAGCCCCGCAAGGGGUCAGUAGAGUGGCAAACGGGUGAGUAACACGUGGGUGACCUGCCUUCGAGCGGGGGAUAACGUCCCGAAAGGGACGCUAAUACCGCAUGACAUCCUGCCUUUCAAGAGGUGGAGAUCAAAGCUGGGGAUCGCAAGACCUAGCACUCGAAGAGGGGCCCGCGCCUGAUUAGCUAGUUGGUGGGGUAACGGCUCACCAAGGCGACGAUCAGUAUCCGGCCUGAGAGGGCGGACGGACACACUGGGACUGAGACACGGCCCAGACUCCUACGGGAGGCAGCAGUGGGGAAUUGUUCGCAAUGGGCGCAAGCCUGACGACGCAACGCCGCGUGGAGGAUGAAGACCUUCGGG